Molecule: ribosomal RNA, 403 nt
Filed under: uncultured bacterium
Lineage: Bacteria
Description: partial 16S ribosomal RNA
Rfam family: Bacterial small subunit ribosomal RNA
Source: RNAcentral
AUUGACAGCUAGCGGCAGGACUAACACAUGCAAGUCGAGCGAUCAGCGGAAGGGGGAGUAAUGUAUGGGGACUGCCCGAUCGAGGGGGAUAACUACGGGAAAGGGUAGCUAAUACAGCAUAAUAUCGGAUCAACCACCUGGGUUUAGAUAGUAGGUGAGGUAAUGGCUCACGUAGGAUACGAUCCCUAGCUGGUCUGCGAGGAUGCUCAGCCACACUGGGACUGAGACACUGCCCAGACACCUACGGAGGCAGCAGGGGGGAAUAUUGCACAAUGGGCGCAAGCCUGAUGCAGCCAGGCCGCGUGUAUGAAGAAGGCCCUAGGGUUGUAAAGUACUUUCAGUCGGUAGGCGUUACCGACAGAAGAAGCACCGGCUAACUCCGUGCCAGCAGCCGCGGUAAUAC